AACCUGGUUGAUCCUGCCAGUAGUCAUAUGCUUGUCUCAAAGAUUAAGCCAUGCAUGUGUAAGCACACGCUGUUUUAAAAGUGAAGCCGCGAAUGGCUCAUUACAACAGCCACAGUUUAUUAGAACUUACAAUCAUGGAUAACUGUGGUAAUUCUAGAGCUAAUACACGCACAAAAACUUCAACUGAAUUGGUUGAAGUGCUUUUAUUAGAACAAAAACCGAACGGCGUUUGACGAAUGUUGAACGUCGAAACUGUUUGGUGAAUCUGAAUAACUAUUUCUGAUCGCAUGGUCUAGCACCGGCGACAUCACUUUCAAGUGUCUGCCUUAUCAACCUUCGAUGGUAGUCUAUGCGACUACCAUGGUGAUAACGGGUAACGGAGAAUCAGGGUUCGACUCCGGAGAGGGAGCCUGAGAAACGGCUACCACAUCCAAGGAAGGCAGCAGGCGCGCAAAUUACCCACUCCCAGCUUGGGGAGGUAGUGACGAAAAAUAACGAGACGAUUCUCGUUUGAGAAACGUUAUCGAAAUGAGUACGCUUUACACACGCUAACGAGUAGCAAUUGGAGGGCAAGUCUGGUGCCAGCAGCCGCGGUAAUUCCAGCUCCAAUAGCGUAUAUUAAAGUUGCUGCGGUUAAAACGCUCGUAGUUGAAUUGUGGUCUUAGACAACAGUCCCCCUACAAAGGUGUGGCACGGUUGCUCGAGAUCUUCAUUCGUGGUUGCUGUUGUUGCUCUUCAUUGAGUGUCAAUGGUGCCUCGAGAUUUUACUUUGAAAAAAUUAGAGUGCUCAAAGCAGGUUGUGAUGCCCGAAUAAUGGUGCAUGGAAUAAUAGAAUACGAUCUCGGUUCUAUUUUGUUGGUUUUCGAACCGGAGAUAAUGAUUGAAAGGAACAGACGGGGGCAUUCGUAUUGCUGCGUUAGAGGUGAAAUUCUUGGAUCGCAGCAAGAUGAACAAUUGCGAAAGCAUUUGCCAAGAAUGUUUUCAUUAAUCAAGAACGAAAGUUAGAGGUUCGAAGGCGAUCAGAUACCGCCCUAGUUCUAACGGUAAACUAUGCCAACCAGCGAUUCGCCGAAGUUCAUUUAAGACUCGGCGAGCAGCUUCCGGGAAACCAAAGUGUUUCGGUUCCGGGGGAAGUAUGGUUGCAAAGCUGAAACUUAAAGGAAUUGACGGAAGGGCACCACCAGGAGUGGAGCCUGCGGCUUAAUUUGACUCAACACGGGAAAACUCACCCGGCCCGGACACUGGAAGGAUUGACAGAUUGACAGCUCUUUCUUGAUUCAGUGGGUAGUGGUGCAUGGCCGUUCUUAGUUGGUGGAGCGAUUUGUCUGGUUAAUUCCGAUAACGAACGAGACUCUACCCUAUUAAAUAGUGACAGUAUUGUAUUUUUUGUGCUGAUCACUUCUUAGAGGGACUGGCAAAUUGAAAGCUGCACGAAAAAGAGCAAUAACAGGUCUGUGAUGCCCUUCGAUGUCCGGGGCUGCACGCGCGCUACAAUGAAAGCGUCAACGUGAGUUACGUCCUUACCUGAAAAGGUUUGGCAAUCGAAUGGAACGUUUUCUUGAAUGGAAUAGGGAAUUGCAAUUGUUUCCCUUGAACGAGGAAUUCCCAGUAAGCGUGAGUCAUUAGCUCGCGUUGAUUACGUCCCUGCCCUUUGUACACACCGCCCGUCGCUACUACCGAUUGGAUGAUUUAGUGAGGUGUUUUGACUGGCGCCAGUAGUCGGAUAUGUAUUCGGCUUCGCGCCGGGAAAUUUCCCAAACCAAAUCAUCUAGAGGAAGUAAAAGUCGUAACAAGGUUUCCGUAGGUGAACCUGCGGAAGGAUCAUUA
This 1827-nucleotide ribosomal RNA is filed under the name Trichinella spiralis. RNAcentral describes it as "SSU rRNA". It matches the Rfam family "Eukaryotic small subunit ribosomal RNA". Lineage: Eukaryota; Metazoa; Nematoda; Enoplea; Trichinellida; Trichinellidae. The record is from RNAcentral.